GAUGAAGAACGCAGCGAAAUGCGAUAAGUAGUGUGAAUUGCAGAAUUCCGUGAAUCAUCGAAUCUUUGAACGCACAUUGCGCCUUUUGGUAUUCCGGAAGGCAUGCCUGUUCGAGAGUCAUUAACAACCGUUUCGAUCCCUUUCUUUCAGAAAUUACAAAGAGGAAAAGGGUUUGGUUAUGGUGGAGGAGGGAAAGGGAGCGUUUAGCCUGUAAAAAAAGAGGCUGUGUUCCGCCUCCCCCCCAAAAUUGUACAGGCGGUCGUGUGCGCCCACGCAUCGAGGUGUUGUAAAAGCUGCCACGGCACUUUUCACCUGUGCAGUGCGAGAUUGGCCAGCCGGUUUAAAAACCCCUCCAAACAAUCAAAGGUUGACCUCGGAUCAGGUAGGGAUACCCGCUGAACUUAAGCAUAUCAAUAAGCGGAGGA
This 425-nucleotide unclassified non-coding RNA is filed under the name soil metagenome. Its description in RNAcentral is "partial contains 5.8S ribosomal RNA, internal transcribed spacer 2, and large subunit ribosomal RNA". The stretch from base 1 to 120 matches the Rfam family "5.8S ribosomal RNA", at positions 35 to 154 of the family's 154-position model. The record is from RNAcentral.